This 293-nucleotide ribosomal RNA is filed under the name uncultured bacterium. Its description in RNAcentral is "partial 16S ribosomal RNA". It matches the Rfam family "Bacterial small subunit ribosomal RNA", at positions 775 to 1067 of the family's 1533-position model. The record is from RNAcentral.
GGAUUAGAUACCCUGGUAGUCCACGCCGUAAACGAUGUCAGCUAGUCGUCGGGGGGCGUAGCCCUUCGGUAACGCAGCAAACGCAUUAAGCUGACCGCCUGGGGAGUACGGCCGCAAGGUUAAAACUCAAAGGAAUUGACGGGGGCCCGCACAAGCGGUGGAGCAUGUGGUUUAAUUCGAUGCAACGCGAAGAACCUUACCAUCCCUUGACAUCCAGAGAACUUUCUAGAGAUAGAUUGGUGCCUUCGGGAACUCUGAGACAGGUGCUGCAUGGCUGUCGUCAGCUCGUGCCG